This 512-nucleotide ribosomal RNA is filed under the name Exiguobacterium homiense. Its description in RNAcentral is "bacterial SSU rRNA". It matches the Rfam family "Bacterial small subunit ribosomal RNA", at positions 54 to 525 of the family's 1533-position model. Lineage: Bacteria; Bacillati; Bacillota; Bacilli; Caryophanales. The record is from RNAcentral.
CAUGCGUCGCUAUACUGCAGUCGAGCGCACGAAUCUCGGCCCCCUUCCGUGGCAAGUCGACGCAAUGACGCCCUUACUCCUGAGUCACUCCUAACCAACCUGCCCUCAGGUCUGGGAUAACCACUAGAAAUCGGGGCUAAUACCUGAUGGGUCAUCGGACCGCAUGGUCCGACGAUGAAAGGCGCUUCGGCGUCGCCUGGGGAUGGCUUUGCGGUGCAUUAGCCAUUUGGUGGGGUAAUGGCCCACCAAGGCGACGAUGCAUAGCCUACCUGAGAGGGGAAUCGGCCAUACUGGGACUGAGACACGGCCCCAAACUAAUACGGGAGGCAGCAGUAGGGAAUCUUCCACAAUGGACGAAAGUCUGAUGGAGCAACGCCGCGUGAACGAUGAAGGCCUUCGGGUCGUAAAGUUCUGUUGUAAGGGAAGAACAAGUGCCGCAGGCAAUGGCGGCACCUUGACGGUACCUUGCGAGAAAGCCACGGGCUAACUACGUGCAGCGUCCCCGGGGAAAA